AGACGCUGAGUCUCAGAAAGCCUGGAGUUUAGCAGUGAAGAGACUGCAUUGCAUAGGACAACAGUUUCAACGUUAGAAGAGCACCGAAUGCCCCACUGGAGCAGAGUGACUAGACUGUCAUUGGAAAGUAACGAAACACCUGAAUUUAAGGGACUUUUGUUCAGUUUUGUCUUCCCAGUGCUUGGAAACAAGCAGAAAGGAUGGAGAUUAACAUUUUGGAGAAACUCAGAAACCUGUACUGCUCUUCAGUAACUACUUACUCCUACCAUUUAAUCCUCAGAAACCUGGAAGGGCAAACGUGGAAAAUGAUGCAGUAGUUAUUUUUGCUGACUAAUAAAAUAAGACUGAUAAAUACCUAAGCACAUGAGGGGUGAUGACUCUGGAUAUGAACCUAAAAUUUGGAAGAACAGACCCCAUGCUCGUGUUGUCAGAUAGAAAUCACCAAUAUCCCACUUUUCUUUGAGUGUAGAGAGCAGAACAAUAAACUUGACUUGGAAUGAGAA
Molecule: long non-coding RNA, 503 nt
Organism: Mesocricetus auratus (golden hamster)
Lineage: Eukaryota; Metazoa; Chordata; Mammalia; Rodentia; Cricetidae
Exons: 3
Source: RefSeq, a predicted model, not a curated record